AAACAAUGCCUAACUCCUAAAAUCAAGGAUCUAGAGGGAAGACCUAGACUAAGCUAAGAACGGCAGACCUACCCUAUGAAAAAUUGGUUCUCUCUUUAACAUGGAGAAAGAAGAUCACCAACCCAAAUGAUUUUCUUUGUAAAUAUUUCAUCGGUUCUACCCAUGUAUCUACUACUGCUGCUGUGAUAUCUUACAUUUCGUCUAAGACAAUGUCAGCAAUUUAGCAGCGUGUGUUCCAUUUAGAUAAAGUAGUAUUCUUGUUUCUUUAUUUGCUGGAAGAAUCAGCUAACAUGUCUGCCAAAUCCAAAUCAACUCCAAAUGGAACUUCGAGCAAUUCAACACCACCAACUCCUCGGAUGAGUACAGUGAGCUGGGGAAUAGAUAAACCUAAUGGUGAUUCACCCUCUCCCUUGCAUAAUUCACGUCAUAGCUUUUGGCUAAAAGGAACUACCGUACAUCGGAGGUUUUGAGUUUUGAGUUUUUCGAUGUCAAGUAUAAGGUUUUCGAUCGAAGUUCCGGUCUGUAAUAUCGGUGUUAGUCCAAGUAUUGUUGUUUUGUUUAAUCCAACUGAUUCUCAAUUUUCAGCUUUGUUCGUCAAUAAAAUUACUGUUUCUUAAUUUUCAUUCUCAUUUCAUUGUGUUACGAUAGCUUGGUACGUGCGUUGGUUGAUUUGUAAUUCUACUUUGUUUGAGUAGCAUGUUUUAAUUUUCAUUUAAAUUGUUUUAAUUAGUUUUUAUUUCGAUUUUGAUAUAUGUAAUCUUGGUUCUUGAAUAAAUGAUUUUAAUUGGGCA
This 791-nucleotide long non-coding RNA is filed under the name Nicotiana benthamiana. RNAcentral's name for it is "long non-coding RNA (NBEN_LNC028938)". The record is from RNAcentral. Lineage: Eukaryota; Viridiplantae; Streptophyta; Magnoliopsida; Solanales; Solanaceae.